AUUUAUUUUAUGAAUGAAGAAGAGGUGGUUAAGAAAAUGAUGGAAUGUGCAUAAAUGAGUAAAUUGACACUAGCAAUUAGAUAAAGA
Pseudonaja textilis is the source of this 87-nucleotide non-coding RNA. Lineage: Eukaryota; Metazoa; Chordata; Lepidosauria; Squamata; Elapidae. The record is from RefSeq and is a predicted model, not a curated record.